GACUCAGGCUCCUCCAACUAACGACGCUGCUGUGCCCGGCCUGGCUCCGCCGCCCCGCCCGAGCGACGCUGCCGUCAUCCGGCCAGCCACCGCUGGCCUCCGAUCCACACGCCACAGUCAAAUCCAACACCUCCGUCUCUUCAACUGCGGGAUUGGACAUCAGUCCUCCGCGUCCAAGUCCGGUGGAUUGCCGCCGUUGUCCUCAAUGGCAGGAUCGGGCCCGCAGCCUCAACAGCGGGGUCGUAGUCAGCGGCCACCGCGAUCCUCGCCUGCGGGAUCGGACGCCACUGCCGCAAGGUUUUACCUAAUUAUGUUUGACUAUUUGAAAUUUGAUUCGAUUCACGCUUUGAAUUAUAGCCUGGUUUUCCUUUGCUCUGACCAUCAACAAUACUCUCAAAUUUGUAGUGCUGAAAGAGAUACAUAUACCACAUUAGCUGCAUCAGUUUUUCUGUAGAGCUUCUGCAUAGAGGAGUUUGAGUACCGUUGUCUCUUUAUUCUCUUCUGUGCCAACAUUCAUAGUAUUGGCAUUUACAUAUUCUAGUUUACUAUCCGUUAUCUACCAAACAUGUCCCUGCGUGUGUACCAUGAUAAUUGCAUGGUAAUGCAAACCAGUUCUGAACCAGAUCCUGCUGGAUCACAACUUACAAGUGCUGAAUUUUCCCAGUUUUUACUGAUAACUGAAAUAUCAGUACACCCUUCACAUCAUCACAAAGUAAAGUAGUGGAUACUGACGGCUAAAUUUAGAAGGGCAAUCGGUAUUUCUUAAUGAUCAUACACGUACACCAAGUUAUCUACCCAAUCAGUAACGAUCAAUUAGCACUGGUCCCUGGAGUUUGCGGUCUAGCCUGACAGUUGGGUAAUCAUGUUGGGUAAAAAAUGCCCUCGAGUCAUUUAGGAUUCAGAUGAUCUACAAAAUCAUGUUGGGUAAAAAGGAUGCUUGUCUAGAGAGGACAAAUGUAUUUGGAGCAUGGAUGCUCCUAUUUGAAAUUUUCAGUAUGACAUGCAUGGUUCAGUUUGUGGUCAUUUUGAUGUCCGUUCUUAUUUUCCUAAAAACAUGGUUCAGUUACAUGAACAUGCCAGCAACCGAGGCAUUCACAUAGUGGUCAGAUUGAUACCUUGCUAGACUGAGAGGUUCAGGUUAGCACUGCUUCAGAAACGUGCAUCAGCUACCUCUAUUGGCUCUGUGAUCGUCUGGCUGAGAAAUUCAUGUACUGAUUGAACAACUUCAUAUCUUGCACCAGCUACUCGUAACUCAUGAAGAUAUGGCUCAGCAAGUUCGAUGAUUUUCUUGUGCUUUGUCCGUCGCUGAAGAAGCGGUGUCAUUUUGUUUGCUUCAAAAUGCAUCUGUAGAUGUUACAAAAAAUGAGAGCAGAUGAUGAGGGCGUGAUGGUGGCUCGUUGGCAAUACCUUGUCAACCUUGUAACUGAACUAGUACUACAUGUGAAGGUUGUGCCACCCCGGAAGCCACCCAGGACCCCUCUGCCGAUGCUGCCAAUACCCCACGCACCUCCGCCUUCCUCGCUAGCGCCGGCGGCCAGCUCCGUGGUGCCGCCGCCAAAGAUAGGAAGAAUAAAACAGCUCAACUGACAAUUUAAAUAUUUGUAGAGAAAUUUUACAUUUCUUACAACUGAGAAUCUGGGAAAAUAAAAUGAAGGGAUUAUCUUUGAUGUGCUGCUUACAGAUUGUGUCGGUAAGUUGUAGAGAGAACAUCUGCAUCGUGUGUUUUAUGAGUACAGUUAUGGUCUCCUGCUUCACCUA
Long non-coding RNA from Lolium rigidum, 1758 nucleotides. RefSeq lists it as uncharacterized. The transcript is spliced from 3 exons. NCBI's taxonomy places the organism in Eukaryota, Viridiplantae, Streptophyta, Magnoliopsida, Poales, Poaceae. The record is from RefSeq and is a predicted model, not a curated record.